RNAcentral lists this ribosomal RNA (460 nucleotides) under uncultured bacterium. RNAcentral describes it as "partial 16S ribosomal RNA". It matches the Rfam family "Bacterial small subunit ribosomal RNA", at positions 338 to 795 of the family's 1533-position model. The record is from RNAcentral.
CCUACGGGUGGCAGCAGUGAGGAAUAUUGGUCAAUGGACGAGAGUCUGAACCAGCCAAGUAGCGUGAAGGAUGACUGCCCUAUGGGUUGUAAACUUCUUUUAUAUGGGAAUAAAAUGUUCCACGUGUGGGAUUUUGUAUGUACCAUAUGAAUAAGGAUCGGCUAACUCCGUGCCAGCAGCCGCGGUAAUACGGAGGAUCCGAGCGUUAUCCGGAUGUAUUGGGUGUAAAGGGAGCGUAGGGGGAUUGUUAAGUCAGUUGUGAAAGUUUGCGGCUCAACCGUAGAAUUGCAGUUGAAACUGGAAGUCUUGAGUACAGUAGGGGUAGGCGGAAGUCCUAGUGUAGCGGUGAAAUGCGUAGAUAUUAGGAAGAACACCGGUUGCGAAGGCGGCUCGCUGGACUGUAACUGACGUUGAGGCUCGAAGGUGUGGGGAGCAAACAGGAUUAGAGACCCCAGUAGUC